UACGGAGGGUGCAAGCGUUAUCCGGAUUCACUGGGUUUAAAGGGUUCGUAGGUGGGCAUGUAAGUCAGUGGUGAAAUCUCCGAGCUUAACUCGGAAACUGCCAUUGAUACUAUCUGUCUUGAAUUAUCUGGAGGUGAGCGGAAUAUGUCAUGUAGCGGUGAAAUGCUUAGAUAUGACAUAGAACACCAAUUGCGAAGGCAGCUCACUACGGAUAUAUUGACACUGAGGCACGAAAGCGUGGGGAUCAAACAGG
RNAcentral lists this ribosomal RNA (253 nucleotides) under uncultured bacterium. RNAcentral describes it as "partial 16S ribosomal RNA". It matches the Rfam family "Bacterial small subunit ribosomal RNA", at positions 524 to 776 of the family's 1533-position model. The record is from RNAcentral.